GACGAACGCUGGCGGCGUGCUUAACGCAUGCAAGUCGAACGGAAAGGCCCUGCUUUUGUGGGGUGCUCGAGUGGCGAACGGGUGAGUAACACGUGAGUAACCUGCCCUUGACUUUGGGAUAACUUCAGGAAACUGGGGCUAAUACCGGAUAGGAGCUCCUGCUGCAUGGUGGGGGUUGGAAAGUUUCGGCGGUUGGGGAUGGACUCGCGGCUUAUCAGCUUGUUGGUGGGGUAGUGGCUUACCAAGGCUUUGACGGGUAGCCGGCCUGAGAGGGUGACCGGCCACAUUGGGACUGAGAGACGGCCCAGACUGCUACGGGAGGCAGCAGUGGGGAAUAUUGCACAAUGGGCGGAAGCCUGAUGCAGCAACGCCGCGUGCGGGAUGACGGCCUUCGGGUUGUAAACCGCUUUCGCCUGUGACGAAGCGUGAGUGACGGUAAUGGGUAAAGAAGCACCGGCUAACUACGUG
Molecule: ribosomal RNA, 468 nt
Filed under: uncultured bacterium
Lineage: Bacteria
Description: partial 16S ribosomal RNA
Rfam family: Bacterial small subunit ribosomal RNA
Source: RNAcentral